UACGAAGGGGACUAGCGUUGUUCGGAAUUACUGGGCGUAAAGCGCACGUAGGCGGAUCUUUAAGUCAGAGGUGAAAUCCUGGAGCUCAACUCCAGAACUGCCUUUGAUACUGAGGAUCUUGAGUAUGGGAGAGGUGAGUGGAACUGCGAGUGUAGAGGUGAAAUUCGUAGAUAUUCGCAAGAACACCAGUGGCGAAGGCGGCUCACUGGCCCAUUACUGACGCUGAGGCACGAAAGCGUGGGGAGCAAACAGG
This 253-nucleotide ribosomal RNA is filed under the name uncultured bacterium. RNAcentral's name for it is "partial 16S ribosomal RNA". It matches the Rfam family "Bacterial small subunit ribosomal RNA", at positions 524 to 776 of the family's 1533-position model. The record is from RNAcentral.